GGGGGCGAUCGGCAUCGACCGGAUGCCGUCACGACGUGGGUGGCGUGCCGAGGGGCCGGGAGGCCUCGACAAAACCCGGCACAAACUGAAGUGCCAACCAGCACUACGCUCUGGCUGCCUGAUUGAGUAGCCACGUCGACGGUCCUUCGCCUGCGGGGGCCGUUGGCGAUACCUAGCAGGCUGGUCGAAGUCGGCUGCUCGUCCCGACCUCGAUGAGAUCCAGAUCGAGCUGGCGCGCGCGGAUCCCGGUCGUCGGAGACGCGUCGCGCGAGACCAAGUAGGCGACCUACGCACGUAGAGGCCCACGUCGGGGCAUCACGGGACGCGGGUUCGAUUCCCGCCGCCUCCACUC
This 352-nucleotide transfer-messenger RNA is filed under the name Planctomycetota. RNAcentral's name for it is "JACRLW01 sp020848735 Standard tmRNA". It matches the Rfam family "transfer-messenger RNA". From Rfam's summary of the family: Bacterial tmRNA, also known as 10Sa RNA or SsrA, is named for its dual tRNA and mRNA-like properties. RNAcentral also lists the same sequence under 1 other name. Lineage: Bacteria; Pseudomonadati. The record is from RNAcentral.